UGAAGGAAAAUGCAAAAAGUGAGAAAAAUGCAAUGAAGAAAAUGCAAAGAAAGAGAAAAUCCAAUCAAACUGGGGCAAACUUCCUCGGUUUCGUUCAAAAUUAGAGAUAAUUUCAAAAUGAUGCAAUCUCAGGUUAUUUCACACCUUUCAUCAAACCUGCUUUCAAGCCUCAACUUUUCUUGAAAAACACCCCACCUGACCUCAUUACAAAAGCCCAAAGUCCUGGCUUUCGUCACUUGCUGCAUUUCUAUUAGGGAUUUUGCUAAUCAACUGGCAAGUGAUGUCCAUAAUGCCUUCGCCUAAUCUUACAAGGGAAGCGCAUUUUACUGAUGUCAGCAAUCUUCAGUUCAUACUCCUGAGUCGAUUAUGGUUGAGUUUUUCCAUUGUUUCCUUAGGUGAAAACCCACAAGGGCACCUCAA
RNAcentral lists this long non-coding RNA (420 nucleotides) under Coffea arabica (coffee). Its description in RNAcentral is "long non-coding RNA (CARA_LNC001226)". The record is from RNAcentral. Lineage: Eukaryota; Viridiplantae; Streptophyta; Magnoliopsida; Gentianales; Rubiaceae.